UACAGAGGGUGCAAACGUUGCUCGGAAUUAUUGGGCGUAAAGCGCGUGUAGGCGGCUUGGCAAGUCGGGUGUGAAAGCCCUCAGCUCAACUGAGGAAGUGCGCCCGAAACUGCUUUGCUUGAGUGCUGGAGAGGGUCGCGGAAUUCCCCAAGUAGAGGUGAAAUUCGUAGAUAUGGGGAGGAACACCGGUGGCGAAGGCGGCGACCUGGACAGUAACUGACGCUGAGACGCGAAAGCGUGGGUAGCAAACAGG
RNAcentral lists this ribosomal RNA (253 nucleotides) under uncultured bacterium. RNAcentral describes it as "partial 16S ribosomal RNA". It matches the Rfam family "Bacterial small subunit ribosomal RNA", at positions 524 to 776 of the family's 1533-position model. The record is from RNAcentral.